Molecule: ribosomal RNA, 233 nt
Filed under: uncultured bacterium
Lineage: Bacteria
Description: partial 16S ribosomal RNA
Rfam family: Bacterial small subunit ribosomal RNA
Source: RNAcentral
CGGGUGAGUAACGCGUGAGGAACCUGCCUCAAAGAGGGGGACAACAGUUGGAAACGACUGCUAAUACCGCAUAAGCCCACAGCUCGGCAUCGAGCAGAGGGAAAAGGAGUGAUCCGCUUUGAGAUGGCCUCGCGUCCGAUUAGCUAGUUGGUGGGGUAAUGGCCCACCAAGGCGACGACCGGUAGCCGGACUGAGAGGUUGAACGGCCACAUUGGGACUGAGACACGGCCCAG